GACGAACGCUGGCGGCGUGCUUAACACAUGCAAGUCGAACGGGAAUUAUUUUAUUGAAACUUCGGUCGAUUUAAUUUAAUCCUAGUGGCGGACGGGUGAGUAACGCGUGGGUAACCUGCCUUAUCCAGGGGGAUAACAGUCAGAAAUGGCUGCUAAUACCGCAUAAGCGCACAGAGCUGCAUGGCUCAGUGUGAAAAACUCCGGUGGUAUAAGAUGGACCCGCGUUGGAUUAGCUGGUUGGUGGGGUAACGGCCCACCAAGGCGACGAUCCAUAGCCGGCCUGAGAGGGUGAACGGCCACAUUGGGACUGAGACACGGCCCAGACUCCUACGGGAGGCAGCAGUGGGGAAUAUUGCACAAUGGGGGAAACCCUGAUGCAGCGACGCCGCGUGAAGGAAGAAGUAUCUCGGUAUGUAAACUUCUAUCAGCAGGGAAGAUAGUGACGGUACCUGACGAAGAAGCCCCGGCUAACUACGUG
This 478-nucleotide ribosomal RNA is filed under the name uncultured bacterium. RNAcentral's name for it is "partial 16S ribosomal RNA". It matches the Rfam family "Bacterial small subunit ribosomal RNA", at positions 28 to 507 of the family's 1533-position model. The record is from RNAcentral.